ACUUCUUGGCAUGGAUUGAGAGCUAUGGUUACCUAUCCUAGCCAUUGACCACAAAUAUAUGAUGAUUAUGAAGAGUUAAUCCUACUUAGUUAAACCUAACAUUGAGGAUAAGUCAAUUAGGAAUAAUUGAUUUCAAUCCACAAGUCCUACUCAACUCUAUUAAUGGAAGACUUAGAGUUAGUGGAAACCAAAUCAACUAACUACUCUAAUAUAUCAAUCAAGAAUGGACAUCAAUGACUCAAGGGUCACCAAAGUCCUCAAUUCCAAGCCAAGAGUGAGGAAAAUUAAGCAAAAACUAAGCCAAACAUUUUUAUCAAACAAUUGGUGUACAUGAAAAUAAAAUCAUAUUAAAUUGCAAUCAAAAUAAAUAACUAAAAAAUUAUUAUUU
Molecule: non-coding RNA, 388 nt
Organism: Arachis ipaensis
Lineage: Eukaryota; Viridiplantae; Streptophyta; Magnoliopsida; Fabales; Fabaceae
Source: RefSeq, a predicted model, not a curated record